CCUACGGGAGGCACCAGUGGGGAAUAUUGCACAAUGGGCGCAAGCCUGAUGCAGCCAUGCCGCGUGUAUGAAGAAGGCCUUCGGGUUGUAAAGUACUUUCAGCGGGGAGGAAGGCGGUGAGGUUAAUAACCUCGCCGAUUGACGUUACCCGUAGAAGAAGCACCGGCUAACUCCGUGCCAGCAGCCGCGGUAAUACGGAGGGUGCAAGCGUUAAUCGGAAUUACUGGGCGUAAAGCGCACGCAGGCGGUCUGUUAAGUCAGAUGUGAAAUCCCCGGGCUCAACCUGGGAACUGCAUUCGAAACUGGCAGGCUAGAGUCUUGUAGAGGGGGGUAGAAUUCCAGGUGUAGCGGUGAAAUGCGUAGAGAUCUGGAGGAAUACCGGUGGCGAAGGCGGCCCCCUGGACAAAGACUGACGCUCAGGUGCGAAAGCGUGGGGAGCAAACAGGAUUAGAUACCCUCGUAGUC
This 465-nucleotide ribosomal RNA is filed under the name uncultured bacterium. Its description in RNAcentral is "bacterial SSU rRNA". It matches the Rfam family "Bacterial small subunit ribosomal RNA", at positions 338 to 795 of the family's 1533-position model. The record is from RNAcentral.